CCAUACAUGUAUGUAUCAAAAUCAAACCUAAACCAUAGCCAAUUAAUACCAUUUUCAACCCAACCAAAACUAAACACAAUAUUUUCCUCACCCAAACCAGUUUGAACCCAAUACAUAACUAUGGGUUUAAACCAAAUACAAAACCAUAUUCAACUUUGGUUUAGCAGUGACAUGCCAAACAAUAUUUUGAACAAUAAUUUAACGGUGACAAUAAUUUAACAGUGACAUAACUAUGGGUUUAAUCUGAGACUUGUAUUAUUGCUCCCUCAGCCAAUAAAUAGGCUUCUUCGUCGCCGGCAUAUGUGAGAUCACUUUGCUGCCUGAUAAGGUGUGUAGCUCCCCCAGCCAAGCUGAGACACUUCCGCACCACCAUGCUAAACCACUGUUGCAUCACAAAGAGAGAGUUCUAUCAGAUCAUAAUUAUUUUGAGAAUGGAGAAGCAUAAUCAACAAACAGAAAUAUUAGACUGCAGAAAUUAAUGACUGCAGCAAUCACAAGUCCAACAGUAUAAAAUGAAACAGAAGCCGAAGUGCUUUCUGAUACCAAAUGAUGGCAGGGAAGUAUUUGUUCAGUUACGAUGCUCUCAAAAUACCCAAUACAGAAGUUAGUUACAAGACCUCAUAUUUACUUACCAUUUCUUAACCAAGUUUUUUUGCUAACAGCUAAGAUUUAAACCUCUGUCCAAAUGUAAAGCUCUUGCAGAAAUAACCAGAUGUUUAUUAUACUACUACGUAGUCUCGAAGCUCAGGAAAAAAAAUCUUUACAUCUCUAAGCAAAACUGGAUGUCUUGUGUUACAAGAUCAGGAUAUGCAUGCCGAAGGAGUUGUCCGGAGUAUAUCACAAACGUAACUCAUACUCCCUCUGUCUCAAAAUAACUGUCUCAAAUGUAGUAAGCUUGGGACAGUUAUUUUGGGACGAAGGGAGUAUAUAACAGGGGAGAACUCAUAUACUCCCUUCCUUAUUAACAUGGUAGUAUAUAGCAGGCAUCAGCAAUAUUAACAGGGGAGAGCUCACAUAGCAGGUCCUACUCAGAGCACAGGGAUUAAAACAGUAAAAACAUGAUAACAUGGUGUACUUACUUGGGGAAACUGAGAAUGUUCCGGAGGAGCCGAACCACUGAACUACUCUGCUGCACACAAACAAGUGAAAUAAGUAAGUCAUUCAACAAUGAUGUUAGUGUAGGAAUACAGGAAAGUUUGGCAGAAAGAUCCAAACAUCAAGAGAGGAAGGCUCAAAAAGACUACACGCUUUGCCUUGAGUCUAUGGGAACAGAGAUGCAAAGUUGCAGACACAAAACCCCCAAUCAAUCAAACAUAUAAAGAAAGCAUUGAUCGUAUUAGAUGCUCAGUAAUGGUACCCAAGAAUAGACCAGACCAGACUCAAUAGGGGGAAAAGAAGUUUUUUUUUACAACAGAUGGGAAAUCAGACCCCCGAGAAACCUCUGAAAACCCCCCAGAAUUUCUUUCACUGCAGAGAAAACCCCCAAAAGUUUGAUUUUUUUUGUUUGAAAAAAUAAAAUACGCCCUCUGACAUAGGACAAGAA
This 1543-nucleotide long non-coding RNA is filed under the name Hordeum vulgare. RNAcentral describes it as "long non-coding RNA (HVUL_LNC013593)". Lineage: Eukaryota; Viridiplantae; Streptophyta; Magnoliopsida; Poales; Poaceae. The record is from RNAcentral.